UGAGUUAGGAGAAAUUGUUUUAAAAAAGGUUGUUUCUAUAUAAAGUGUAGUUUGAUUGCUCGAGGACGAGAAAUGGUAUAAGUGUGGGGUGUUGAUGAUAUGCUAUAAUUACAUGUUUUAAUCGUUUAAUACACUCUAAUUUGUUGCACUUUAAUUGAGUUUGAGCUUUAAUCACUAGUGUUUUGCACUAAUUGUGUAUUUUAUGCCUUACAGGAGUGAUUCCAAGCUAUGUAGAUAUUAUGGAAUGAACUCAAGUAAUUUAGAGCUUUGAAGUAUGAGUAAAAGCUCAAGGAAUCAAGCCGGCAUCGUGUUUGGAGAUCAAUAGAUGAUGGUUAAGAACGAAACAAAGAAUCGAGUGGGCAUACGGCGCAUUGUCAAGUAAAAUGAAAAUAGCUUUUUGCUCAAAACUCUGUUUGGACUCCGCAAUAUAUCGUUGGAAGAUAUUUGAAAGGGCUAUAACUUUCAUGUUUUGCAUUUU
Molecule: long non-coding RNA, 478 nt
Filed under: Nicotiana benthamiana
Lineage: Eukaryota; Viridiplantae; Streptophyta; Magnoliopsida; Solanales; Solanaceae
Description: long non-coding RNA (NBEN_LNC002477)
Source: RNAcentral